Non-coding RNA from Podarcis lilfordi (Lilford's wall lizard), 3559 nucleotides. Lineage: Eukaryota; Metazoa; Chordata; Lepidosauria; Squamata; Lacertidae. The record is from the annotation of a GenBank genome assembly.
CUUGUGGUUCAAAAUUUGGUUUGCUAAAUGUAUUUAUUUAGCAAAUUUAUAUCUUGUCUUUCUUCCAUCACAGAAUUCAAGAUACCUUACAGGGAGUUUCCAGGAAGCCUCCCAUCCAAGUACUGACCAGGUCAAGACCUGCUUAGCUUCAACAAGGUGACUAUUCAACUCUGCUUGAAUGGGACUCCUCCUUCCUAAUCCCAGUUGUGUUAGAAUUGGCUAUGGUGGCUCAGUGGUGGGGGAUGCAGUUAACACCUUGGCACUCAAAAUAGGUCUAUAUCUGCACUCAAGUGUGAUCUGGCUCAGAUUAAGCUUUGGGGUGGUGGUGCAGAACCUUCUGUCUUUUGUGCAGCUGGUAUGUAGCCUAUUGUGGGACGCGGGUGGCGCUGUGGGUUAAACCACAGAGCCUAGGACUUGCUGAUCAGAAGGUCGGCGGUUUGAAUCCCCACGACAGGGUGAGCUCCCGUUGCUCGGUCCCUGCUCCUGCCAACCUAGUAGUUCGAUAGCACCACAAAGUGCAAGUAGAUAAAUAGGUACCACUCCGGCGGCGCUGCUCUGGUUCUCCAGAAGCGGCUUAGUCAUUCUGGCAAUAUGACCCGGAAGCUGUACGCCGGCUCCCUCGGCCAGUAAAGCGAGGUGAGCGCCGCAACCCCAGAGUCAUUUGCGACUGGACCUAAUGGUCAGGGGUCCCUUUACCUUUACCUUAAUCCAGUGGUGCAACCUAAUGCAACACCAUCUUCCUCUCUCUCAUUAUUUCUGCCGCUGACCAACACCAUCUAUCCAGAUCAUCUUCCAAUGUCCAGCAUUUUAUUUUAGAAAAAGAAAGUAGGAGGAAGUAAUGACCUGUGUUUGCUCCAUUCCUCCUGAUGUCCUUUUAGGCUUGAGGCCAGCUAGGUUUCGAAAGAAAAUAGGAAGUUCAAGAUUUGCAGGAGUGAGGUGGAGGGAUUCUGCCAACAGGAUUUUGUUACUGUCUGGUGCUGAAAGGAAGGCAGUAAAAGGAGAGGCUUGGAAAGCUAUUCUGAGUCUUCUGCCUCCAGGCUUGAUCGUAGAGGAAAACUCUAUUAAUUAGUGUCUGGCUCAAAUCCACCAGCAGUGUCCACAUUUUCGAAGGUUGCUAGAUAGCCUCCAGCUCUCAGCUCACCUGAUGGACUUCCUUCUCUGGAAACCUCUGGGCCUAAAAUUGGCUUUGCUAAGACAAAAAAAGAGUUGUAUUCAGCAUUUCUGAGUUAAUUAGUCUCUCUUCUGUCCGAGACAGUGGACUGCUCUCUCCGGUCAAGAUGCCAGAAGGGGUUUGAAAUGUUAGUGAGUUAAGGAAACUAUGGCAAGGUUUUGGCAUCAGCUUUUGGUGACUUUGUCUCUCAGCAAUUUGUGUGAAUUUCCCCUGAGUCAGAAGGAGAAUGGUAGGGUCUGAGGCUCCUGCCCCAGCAGAUGACCAGUGCUGCAAUCAUGAGAUUCUUCAGGCUAGUACUAAUAAUCUUUUGUAGAGUUUGGCCAGACCGAGUCAGAGGUGGUUCAGAAGUGUUUUUGUCAAGAAGCAGGUUUGGAAUACAAAAUCCUGUUGUGGGUAGCAGUGGAGGGGUCAGUGUAUUUGGGGUCCAUGUCACUUUCACCUGUGUUCAUUCAUAAAUCUGUUCUGAUUCUGCGUUAAUCCAUUCUGAGUUUUUUAAUCCAUACAAAAAAAAUCACAUUUAAACAUUAUCUCAAAUACUCAUUUAAAAAAUGCAUUUGAUACAGUUUUGUUUUAGCUGAGAACUGUGCCACAUUAGGAAAAGUGCAACAUGGAUGUUCUGUUUAACACAUUAGUCCGGCAGGUGCGGAUCAGUUCAUUUUUGUAUGAGAAUUCACAGAGAUGGAACUAUUCCAGUGCCUCCAGACAUGGGGCUUGUGCAUCUAAUGGGAGGGAGAAAUGAAGAGGAUGCAUUUCAGGUGUGGAAGAAAAGGACUGGGAACUCAUGCAGCCUGUUCUUUAGCAGAGCUGCUUUCAGUCCAUGUGCCUCCCCCACCCUCCAAAAGGCCAUUAUGAUACAUCACUGGUUCCCUGCUGGAAUUAUGACAGCGCUCCCUCCCCUCUCCCAAUAAUGUCAAAGGACUCAGCUCAGGUAACACAGAACUGGGCAACCUUUUUCACCUCUAGAGCUGCAACUGGUUCUGGGCAACAUUCUAGGCCAGUGAUGGGUAGAGCCAGAAGCAAAAGUGGGUGGAGCAACACAUGUAAAUUUUGCCAUCUGUAGGCUAAUUUCCUCCUUCUUCUUUGGCAAUCACUCGUAACCGAGUAAGAUUGUCUUCCAUAAACACGGUUUUAACAAUGAGUCUGUAAGUGACUGUGGAGGCCAGUUCUGGAUCCACACGUCCUUCCACAUUGGGGACAUUGGUUUCUGGGUGGGAGUUGAUCACGGUGUGGAUUUGCCAGGCGUGCCUUCCUCUUAGCACGUUUCUCCCUUGAGUCCUGAAUUCGAGUGUCUUCAAAGCCCAUAAUACCUUUGGUAAAGGCUGUUCUCCAACUGGAGCGCUCGCAGGCCAGUGUUUCCCAGUUUUCAGUGUUCAUACUACCUUUUUGUAGAUUUGCCUUGAGACAGUCUUUAAACCUCUCACCCUAUAUCCUCCUUCCAGGCAAACAAGAGGCAUGAUCAGACUUCAGGGAUACAUUCCAGCCUGCUAAAAAAAACGAAAAGUGAAAAGCAGACACAGUGUGACCCAGGGAGAGUUUCAACAGCCAGAUAUAGUGGCUUGGGGGGCUGCGUAGCUCUAUACCCCCCCCCCCACCUGCAGGCCUAAGGUUUCCAACCCCUGCUCUAUUAGUUAAAGGUAAAGGUACCCCUGCCCGUACGGGCCAGUCGUGUCCAACUCUAGCGUUGCGUGCUCAUCUCUCUCUAGAGGCCGUGAGCUGGCGCCGUCCGAAGACACUUCCGGGUCACGUGGCCAGCGUGACGAAGCUGCAGCUGGCAAGCCAGCACCAGCGCAGCACACAGAUACACCGUUUACCUGCCUGCUAUAAAGUGGUACCUAUUUAUCUACUUGCACUUAAGAGUGCUUUCGAACUGCUAGGUGGGCAGGCGCUGGGACCGAACAACGGGAGCUCACCCCGCUGCGGGGAUUCAAACCGCCGACCUUGCAAUCAGCAAGUCCUAGGCACUGAGGUUUUACCGACAGCGCCACCCGCGUCCCCAGCUCUAUUAGUUACUCUUGUUCUUAUCACUGAUUUGUUAGGCAGAGUAAAGAGAAGCCACAGGGUGCCUCAGAUUUAUUUUUUUAAUCUGUUUUCUCAAUGCUUGGACCCGCAUCCAGUCCAGGUACCGAAAGGGUUGGGGAGAACAAAAUGGGAAAGAGUUCUGUAACCAGUGUUUGCAGUCCAUUUACAAAACAUCCUGCCAAUGAUCCUACUCGGCUCCUGCUGUCAGCAGCGGCAGAACUGGAGCUAUUUUAAUGAGCUGAGGGAUUAAACCAAGGGAAACGCAAAUUGUACAGUUGUGCUCUCUGUUUGUUGACGACGCAUUCCAUGCAUCAAGGAUCAAGUUCCUUAAAAGAAGUCUGUUAUGCCUAUCCAUUCUACUCCUUUGUG